UGGGAACGUGCCCUUUGGUUCGGAACAACUCCGGGAAACUGGAGCUAAUACCGGAUAAGCCCUUCGGGGAAAGAUUUAUCGCCAAAGGAUCGGCCCGCGUCUGAUUAGCUAGUUGGUGAGGUAACGGCUCACCAAGGCGACGAUCAGUAGCUGGUCUGAGAGGAUGAUCAGCCACACUGGGACUGAGACACGGCCCAGACUCCUACGGGAGGCAG
This 215-nucleotide ribosomal RNA is filed under the name uncultured bacterium. RNAcentral's name for it is "partial 16S ribosomal RNA". It matches the Rfam family "Bacterial small subunit ribosomal RNA", at positions 118 to 351 of the family's 1533-position model. The record is from RNAcentral.